Molecule: ribosomal RNA, 546 nt
Filed under: uncultured Cercozoa
Lineage: Eukaryota; Cercozoa
Description: SSU rRNA
Rfam family: Eukaryotic small subunit ribosomal RNA
Source: RNAcentral
GCGUAUAUUAAUGUUGUUGCAGUUAAAAAGCUCGUAGUUGGAUUUCUACCUAUUUUGCCCGUUCCGGAUGAUAUUCAUCUUUCGGUAAUGGAGCUGAAGUGGGUAUCCUAUCAUGAAGUUGCGGCCUCGUGUCGUCGCUGAGUGGUUCUUUUACUUUGAAAAAAUUAGAGUGUUUAAAGCAGGCUUGCGCAAGAAUACAUUAGCAUGGAAUAAUAACAUAGGACUUUGGUCUCUAUUUUGUUGGUUUCUAGGACUAAAGUAAUGAUUGAUAGGGAUAGUUGGGGGUGCUAGUAUUGAGCGGCCAGAGGUGAAAUUCUUAGAUUCGCUCAAGACUAACUUAUGCGAAAGCAUUCACCAAGGAUGUCUUCUUUAAUCAAGAACGAAAGUUGGGGGAUCGAAGACGAUCAGAUACCGUCGUAGUCUCAACCAUAAACUAUACCGACUAAGGAUGAGUGAUCGUUGCAUUUUCGACUUCAUUCGCACUUUAUGAGAAAUCAAAGUCUUUGGGUUCCGGGGGGAGUAUGGUCGCAAGGCUGAAACUUAAAG